GACGAACGCUGGCGGCGUGCCUAAUACAUGCAAGUUGAGCGCUGAAGGUUGGUACUUGUACCAACUGGAUGAGCAGCGAACGGGUGAGUAACGCGUGGGGAAUCUGCCUUUGAGCGGGGGACAACAUUUGGAAACGAAUGCUAAUACCGCAUAAAAACUUUAAACACAAGUUUUAAGUUUGAAAGAUGCAAUUGCAUCACUCAAAGAUGAUCCCGCGUUGUAUUAGCUAGUUGGUGAGGUAAAGGCUCACCAAGGCGAUGAUACAUAGCCGACCUGAGGGGGUGAUCGGCCACAUUGGGACUGAGACACGGCCCAAACGCCUACGGGAGGCAGCAGUAGGGAAUCUUCGGCAAUGGACGAAAGUCUGACCGAGCAACGCCGCGGGAGGGAAGAAGGUUUUCGGAUCGUAAAACUCGGUUGGUAGAGAAGAACGUUGGUGAGAGUGGAAAGCUCAUCAAGUGACGGUAACUACUCAGAAAGGGACGGCUAACUACGUG
This 497-nucleotide ribosomal RNA is filed under the name uncultured bacterium. RNAcentral's name for it is "partial 16S ribosomal RNA". It matches the Rfam family "Bacterial small subunit ribosomal RNA", at positions 28 to 507 of the family's 1533-position model. The record is from RNAcentral.